GAUGAACGCUGGCGGCGUGCCUAAUACAUGCAAGUCGAGCGAACAGACGAGGAGCUUGCUCCUCUGACGUUAGCGGCGGACGGGUGAGUAACACGUGGAUAACCUACCUAUAAGACUGGGAUAACUUCGGGAAACCGGAGCUAAUACCGGAUAAUAUAUUGAACCGCAUGGUUCAAUAGUGAAAGACGGUUUUGCUGUCACUUAUAGAUGGAUCCGCGCCGCAUUAGCUAGUUGGUAAGGUAACGGCUUACCAAGGCAACGAUGCGUAGCCGACCUGAGAGGGUGAUCGGCCACACUGGAACUGAGACACGGUCCAGACUCCUACGGGAGGCAGCAGUAGGGAAUCUUCCGCAAUGGGCGAAAGCUUGACGGAGCAACGCCGCGUGAGUGAUGAAGGUCUUCUGAUCGUAAAACUCUGUUAUUAGGGAAGAACAAAUGUGUAAGUAACUAUGCACGUCUUGACGGUACCUAAUCAGAAAGCCACGGCUAACUACGUG
Molecule: ribosomal RNA, 497 nt
Filed under: uncultured bacterium
Lineage: Bacteria
Description: partial 16S ribosomal RNA
Rfam family: Bacterial small subunit ribosomal RNA
Source: RNAcentral